AGUUUAUUAGCUUAAAUAAAGUUUUUAUUUUGAAAAUAAAAGAUUAGGGGAUCCUAUUAACUA
Molecule: transfer RNA, 63 nt
Filed under: Scorpiops tibetanus
Lineage: Eukaryota; Metazoa; Arthropoda; Arachnida; Scorpiones; Euscorpiidae
Description: tRNA-Ser
Source: RNAcentral